CAUUUGGUGCAUCAUUUAUAGAUAUUUGAAGGACUUCUUAAAUUGCCAGGGAACAGGGAAUGUGCUGACUGCAAAAGCAAGCAGGUAUCUUAGUUGAAUUUUGAUAACGAAUGAUCUUUUAUUUCUAAAGCUAGGGAACAAGGAGCAAGUAGUGGGCACAUGUCAGUUACGGAUACUUCACAAAAUGAGACAUUGGAGGUUGGACCUGGGAAUUUGAAGAUGUCCUUUUCAUCAACAUCUGGACAACUAAAACACAUGAUAAAUUAUAAAACAAGUGUGAAAGAUUUGGAUGUGGAACUUGAAAGUACAAAGCAGAAAAGUAAAUAAAACCUGCAACAAGUCAUCUUAAUUGAAAGAGAAAG
Molecule: long non-coding RNA, 362 nt
Organism: Magnolia sinica
Lineage: Eukaryota; Viridiplantae; Streptophyta; Magnoliopsida; Magnoliales; Magnoliaceae
Exons: 3
Source: RefSeq, a predicted model, not a curated record